Molecule: ribosomal RNA, 253 nt
Filed under: uncultured bacterium
Lineage: Bacteria
Description: partial 16S ribosomal RNA
Rfam family: Bacterial small subunit ribosomal RNA
Source: RNAcentral
GACAGAGGGUGCAAACGUUGUUCGGAAUUACUGGGCGUAAAGCGCGUGUAGGCUGCUCGGAAAGUCGGGUGUGAAAGCCCGGGGCUCAACCCCGGAACUGCCCUCGAAACUAGGUAGCUAGAAUCUUGGAGAGGUCAGUGGAAUUCCGAGUGUAGAGGUGAAAUGCGUAGAUAUCAGGAGGAACACCGGUGGCGAAGGCGGAUCUCUGGACCAGUUCUGACACUGAUGAGCGAAAGCCAGGGGAGCAAACAGG